CUGGUUCUCCCCGAAAGCUAUUUAGGUAGCGCCUCGGACGAAUACUACUGGGGGUAGAGCACUGUUAAGGCUAGGGGGUCAUCCCGACUUACCAACCCUUUGCAAACUCCGAAUACCAGUAAGUACUAUCCGGGAGACACACGGCGGGUGCUAACGUCCGUCGUGGAGAGGGAAACAACCCAGACCGCCAGCUAAGGUCCCAAAGUAUUGCUAAGUGGGAAACGAUGUGGGAAGGCUCAGACAGCUAGGAUGUUGGCUUAGAAGCAGCCAUCAUUUAAAGAAAGCGUAAUAGCUCACUAGUCGAGUCGGCCUGCGCGGAAGAUGUAACGGGGCUAAGCAAUACACCGAAGCUGCGGCAAUGUCUUUUAGACAUUGGGUAGGGGAGCGUUCUGUAAGCCGUUGAAGGUGAAUCGUAAGGUUUGCUGGAGGUAUCAGAAGUGCGAAUGCUGACAUGAGUAACGACAAAGGGGGUGAAAAACCUCCUCGCCGGAAGACCAAGGGUUCCUGUCCAACGUUAAUCGGGGCAGGGUGAGUCGACCCCUAAGGUGAGGCCGAAAGGCGUAAUCGAUGGGAAACGGGUUAAUAUUCCCGUACUUCUGACUAUUGCGAUGGGGGGACGGAGAAGGCUAGGUGGGCCAGGCGACGGUUGUCCUGGUUCAAGUGCGUAGGCUUGAGAGUUAGGUAAAUCCGGCUCUCUCUAAGGCUGAGACACGACGUCGAGCUACUACGGUAGUGAAGUCAUUGAUGCCAUGCUUCCAGGAAAAGCCUCUAAGCUUCAGAUAGUCAGGAAUCGUACCCCAAACCGACACAGGUGGUCGGGUAGAGAAUACCAAGGCGCUUGAGAGAACUCGGGUGAAGGAACUAGGCAAAAUGGUACCGUAACUUCGGGAGAAGGUACGCUCUUGAUGGUGAAGUCCCUCGCGGAUGGAGCUGACGAGAGUCGCAGAUACCAGGUGGCUGCAACUGUUUAUUAAAAACACAGCACUGUGCAAAAUCGCAAGAUGACGUAUACGGUGUGACGCCUGCCCGGUGCCGGAAGGUUAAUUGAUGGGGUUAGCGCAAGCGAAGCUCUUGAUCGAAGCCCCGGUAAACGGCGGCCGUAACUAUAACGGUCCUAAGGUAGCGAAAUUCCUUGUCGGGUAAGUUCCGACCUGCACGAAUGGCGUAAUGAUGGCCACGCUGUCUCCACCCGAGACUCAGUGAAAUUGAAAUCGCUGUGAAGAUGCAGUGUACCCGCGGCUAGACGGAAAGACCCCGUGAACCUUUACUACAGCUUGGCACUGAACAUUGAACCUACAUGUGUAGGAUAGGUGGGAGGCUAUGAAGACGUGACGCCAGUUGCGUUGGAGCCGUCCUUGAAAUACCACCCUUGUAUGUUUGAUGUUCUAACUUAGACCCAUUAUCUGGGUUGAGGACAGUGCCUGGUGGGUAGUUUGACUGGGGCGGUCUCCUCCCAAAGAGUAACGGAGGAGCACGAAGGUGGGCUAAUCACGGUUGGACAUCGUGAGGUUAGUGCAAUGGCAUAAGCCCGCUUAACUGCGAGAAUGACGGUUCGAGCAGGUGCGAAAGCAGGUCAUAGUGAUCCGGUGGUUCUGUAUGGAAGGGCCAUCGCUCAACGGAUAAAAGGUACUCCGGGGAUAACAGGCUGAUACCGCCCAAGAGUUCAUAUCGACGGCGGUGUUUGGCACCUCGAUGUCGGCUCAUCACAUCCUGGGGCUGAAGUCGGUCCCAAGGGUAUGGCUGUUCGCCAUUUAAAGUGGUACGCGAGCUGGGUUUAGAACGUCGUGAGACAGUUCGGUCCCUAUCUGCCGUGGG
Molecule: ribosomal RNA, 1815 nt
Filed under: Vibrio cholerae
Lineage: Bacteria; Pseudomonadati; Pseudomonadota; Gammaproteobacteria; Vibrionales; Vibrionaceae
Description: partial 23S ribosomal RNA
Rfam family: Bacterial large subunit ribosomal RNA
Source: RNAcentral